Molecule: non-coding RNA, 369 nt
Organism: Sorex fumeus (smoky shrew)
Lineage: Eukaryota; Metazoa; Chordata; Mammalia; Eulipotyphla; Soricidae
Source: the annotation of a RefSeq genome assembly
AUGAGGACCCCUGUGAAGCUCCUCAGCUUCCUGCUGCUCUGGCUCCCAGAUUCUUGGUGUGAUAUCCAGAUGAGCCAGCCUUCAUCCGUGUCUGCAUCUCUGGAAAAGAAAGUCACCAUCACCUGCAAAGCCAGUGGCUACAUUAGCAAUGAUUUAGCCUGGUAUCAGCAGAAAGCAGGGAAAGCCCCCAGGCUCCUGAUCUAUUAUGCAACCAAUUUAGGACCAGAUGUCCCUUCCCGGUUCAGUGGCAGUGGAUCUGGGACAGAUUUCACUCUCACCAUCAGCAGCCUGAAGCCUGAGGAUGCUGCCACUUAUUACUGUCAACAACAUUGGAGUACUCCUCCCACAGUGAUAAAAGCCAGAACAUAA